UUUGAUCAUGGCUCACGACGAACGCUGGCGGCGUGCCUAAUACAUGCAAGUCGAGCGAAUCUUGAGGAGCUUGCUCCUUAAGGUUAGCGGCGGACGGGUGAGUAACACGUGGGCAACCUGCCUGUAAGACUGGGAUAACACCGGGAAACCGGUGCUAAUACCGGAUAAUUCUUCACCUCUCAUGAGGUGAAGUUGAAAGUCGGUUUCGGCUGACACUUACAGAUGGGCCCGCGGCGCAUUAGCUAGUUGGUGAGGUAACGGCUCACCAAGGCGACGAUGCGUAGCCGACCUGAGAGGGUGAUCGGCCACACUGGGACUGAGACACGGCCCAGACUCCUACGGGAGGCAGCAGUAGGGAAUCUUCCGCAAUGGACGAAAGUCUGACGGAGCAACGCCGCGUGAGUGAUGAAGGCCUUCGGGUCGU
Molecule: ribosomal RNA, 424 nt
Filed under: uncultured bacterium
Lineage: Bacteria
Description: bacterial SSU rRNA
Rfam family: Bacterial small subunit ribosomal RNA
Source: RNAcentral